Long non-coding RNA from Drosophila ananassae, 840 nucleotides. RefSeq lists it as uncharacterized. The transcript is spliced from 3 exons. NCBI's taxonomy places the organism in Eukaryota, Metazoa, Arthropoda, Insecta, Diptera, Drosophilidae. The record is from RefSeq and is a predicted model, not a curated record.
CACUUGAAUGUAAGGAUGUAGCAAGUGUAUACACACUAAAAAUGUGUUCCUUGUUUCUCGCCUAUUUGUUGAUAUCUUGUCCUCUUGACAUUUUACUUCACUUCGUUUCUGGCAUCGAGAGCGAGUGGUUUAUAAAAUCUUAAUUGUGUGUUUUAUUUAUUCAUUGAGGGUUUCUGGUUAAUACUUAAUUCCAAAAAACAUCGAAAGGUUACUUUUGCGCCACCCUGUAUAACAUGUGUGGAUAGUGCCAACCCUCUAACUUAAAAAACACCAGAGCGAGUGGUUUAUAAAAUCUUAAUUGUGUGUUUUAUUUAUUCAUUGAGGGUUUCUGGUUAAUACUUAAUUCCAAAAAACAUCGAAAGGUUACUUUUGCGCCACCCUGUAUAACAUGUGUGGAUAGUGCCAACCCUCUAACUUAAAAAACACCAAUGUUAUGACAUUUUCGAUCAAUCAGUUAUAUGGCUGCUAUAGGAUAUGUGGCCAAGUGUACUAAGUUGAUCACUUGGACCAUUCGAAAGACAAUUUUCUGCAGUAUUAAUUGGAACUAGAACAGGCAAGUCUUAUAUGUUUUUUAUGGAAUACGAUUCCACCAUGAUAGCUGUUUUAAUUAAAAUAUUCAUGUUUUUCUCUUAUUAAUUUUAGAAGUACUAAGAAGGUUCAAUUUGGCUCUUCAGAAAUGGAGUAAACAGAAAAGUUGUUGGUAUGGAGAAAUGGAAAAGACAGAGAAAGAACAAUACGUGAAAACAAGAAAGAUAAGAAAGCUAACUUCGGGCAGAGCCGAAGUUUAUAUUCCCUUGCAGUUAGGUAGCAGCUUAUAUUAUUAUAUGUAUAUAUAUUGGA